This 107-nucleotide small nucleolar RNA is filed under the name Capsicum annuum. RNAcentral's name for it is "Plant small nucleolar RNA R71". It matches the Rfam family "Plant small nucleolar RNA R71". From Rfam's summary of the family: R71 is a member of the C/D box family of snoRNAs containing the C (UGAUGA) and D (CUGA) box motifs. Multiple nearly identical copies of this snoRNA have been identified in Arabidopsis, and it is thought to function as a 2'-O-ribose methylation guide for 18S ribosomal RNA. Lineage: Eukaryota; Viridiplantae; Streptophyta; Magnoliopsida; Solanales; Solanaceae. The record is from Rfam by way of RNAcentral.
UGUUGAUGAUGUAGACAGUCCUGAAGAAAAUCUAUGAACCUCUCCCAUGCAUAAUAUAAGUUCUCAUCUGGCUUCUGUUUGAAGCACACAAUCUCACAUUGUAGUCU